GCCCUGGUCGGAAACCAGGGCCCGAUAAAAGGAG
This 34-nucleotide non-coding RNA is filed under the name unclassified sequences. RNAcentral's name for it is "L31-Coriobacteria ribosomal protein leader". It matches the Rfam family "L31-Coriobacteria ribosomal protein leader". The record is from RNAcentral.